This 538-nucleotide ribosomal RNA is filed under the name Onychodactylus fischeri (Fischer's clawed salamander). Its description in RNAcentral is "partial 16S ribosomal RNA". It matches the Rfam family "Bacterial large subunit ribosomal RNA", at positions 1821 to 2591 of the family's 2925-position model. The record is from RNAcentral. Lineage: Eukaryota; Metazoa; Chordata; Amphibia; Caudata; Hynobiidae.
UCUUGCAAUUAAAGUAUAAGAGGUCCUGCCUGCCCAGUGACAUUAGUUUAACGGCCGCGGUAUUAUGACCGUGCAAAGGUAGCGUAAUCACUUGUCUUUUAAAUAAAGACCUGUAUGAAUGGCAAAACGAAAGUUCAACUGUCUCCCUAAGUUAAUCAGUGAAAUUGAUUUUUCCGUGCAGAAGCGGAAAUAAAUUUAUAAGACGAGAAGACCCUAUGGAGCUUCAAAUAUAAAUCAAUUGUUUUAAUUAAAAAACCAUAAAUAUAAUAAAACAUAAUGAUUAAAAUUUUAGGUUGGGGCGACCACGGAAAAAAACAAAACUUCCGAGAUGAAAUAUUAUUAAUGAACAACAGUUCUAAAAAAUAAAAUAUUUAACAUAAUUGAUCCAAUAUUUGAUCAACGAACCAAGUUACCCUAGGGAUAACAGCGCAAUCCUUUCUAAGAGUCCUUAUCGACGAAUGGGUUUACGACCUCGAUGUUGGAUCAGGACACCCCAAUGGUGUAGCCGCUAUUAAAGGUUCGUUUGUUCAACGAUUAA